RNAcentral lists this ribosomal RNA (489 nucleotides) under uncultured bacterium. RNAcentral's name for it is "partial 16S ribosomal RNA". It matches the Rfam family "Bacterial small subunit ribosomal RNA", at positions 28 to 507 of the family's 1533-position model. The record is from RNAcentral.
GACGAACGCUGGCGGCGUGCUUAACACAUGCAAGUCGAACGGAAAGGCCCCCAUCUUGGUGGGGGUGCUCGAGUGGCGAACGGGUGAGUAACACGUGGGUGAUCUGCCCUGUACUUCGGGAUAAGCUUGGGAAACUGGGUCUAAUACCGGAUAGGACCAUGGUUUAGUGUCUCAUGGUGGAAAGAUUAUUGUUUUGGUGCAGGAUGAGCUCGCGGCCUAUCAGCUUGUUGGUGGGGUAAUGGCCUACCAAGGCGUCGACGGGUAGCCGGCCUGAGAGGGUGGACGGCCACAGUGGGACUGGGAUACGGCCCAGACUGCUACGGGAGGCAGCAGUGGGGGAUAUUGCACAAGGGGCGCAAGGCUGAUGCAGCGACGCCGCGUGGGGGAUGACGGCCGUCGGGUUGUAAACUCCUUUCGUUAGGGACGAAGCCGCACUUUUUUUGGGUGUGGUGACGGUACCUUUGUUAAGAAGCACCGGCUAACUACGUG